RNAcentral lists this ribosomal RNA (426 nucleotides) under uncultured Methylococcaceae bacterium. RNAcentral describes it as "partial 16S ribosomal RNA". It matches the Rfam family "Bacterial small subunit ribosomal RNA", at positions 355 to 774 of the family's 1533-position model. The record is from RNAcentral. Lineage: Bacteria; Pseudomonadati; Pseudomonadota; Gammaproteobacteria; Methylococcales; Methylococcaceae.
UGGGGAAUAUUGGACAAUGGGCGAAAGCCUGAUCCAGCAAUACCGCGUGUGUGAAGAAGGCCUGAGGGUUGUAAAGCACUUUCAAUAGGAAGGAAUACCUGUCGGCUAAUACCCGGCAGACUGACAUUACCUAUACAAGAAGCACCGGCUAACUCCGUGCCAGCAGCCGCGGUAAUACGGAGGGUGCAAGCGUUAAUCGGAAUUACUGGGCGUAAAGCGUGCGUAGGCGGUUAUUUAAGUCAGAUGUGAAAGCCCCGGGCUUAACCUGGGAACUGCAUUUGAUACUGGCUAACUAGAGUUUAAGAGAGGGGAGUGGAAUUUCAGGUGUAGCGGUGAAAUGCGUAGAGAUCUGAAGGAACACCAGUGGCGAAGGCGACUCCCUGGCUUAAAACUGACGCUGAGGUACGAAAGCGUGGGUAGCAAACA